RNAcentral lists this ribosomal RNA (427 nucleotides) under uncultured prokaryote. RNAcentral describes it as "bacterial SSU rRNA". It matches the Rfam family "Bacterial small subunit ribosomal RNA", at positions 355 to 774 of the family's 1533-position model. The record is from RNAcentral.
CUAAGAAUAUUCCGCAAUGGACGAAAGUCUGACGGAGCGACGCCGCGUGGAUGAUGAAGGCCGAAAGGUUGUAAAGUCCUUUUGCUGGGGAAGAAUAAGCGUGGGAGGGAAUGCCCGCGUGAUGACAUGAACCGGCGAAUAAGCCCCGGCUAACUACGUGCCAGCAGCCGCGGUAACACGUCGGGGGCAAGCGUUGUUCGGAAUUACUGGGCGUAAAGGGCAUGUAGGCGGCCGUGUAAGCUUGGCGUGAAAGUCCACGGCUUAACCGGGGGAUUGCGUGGAGAACUGCGAGGCUUGAGUGACGGAGAGGGAGCUAGAAUUCCUGGUGUAGGGGUGGAAUCUGUAGAGAUCAGGAAGAAUACCAAUGGCGAAGGCAAGCUCCUGGCCGAUGACUGACGCUGAGGUGCGAAAGUGUGGGGAUCAAACA